RNAcentral lists this ribosomal RNA (461 nucleotides) under Streptococcus sp. oral taxon 057. RNAcentral's name for it is "bacterial SSU rRNA". It matches the Rfam family "Bacterial small subunit ribosomal RNA", at positions 28 to 471 of the family's 1533-position model. The record is from RNAcentral. Lineage: Bacteria; Bacillati; Bacillota; Bacilli; Lactobacillales; Streptococcaceae.
GAUGAACGCUGGCGGCGUGCCUAAUACAUGCAAGUAGAACGCUGAAGAGAGGAGCUUGCUCUUCUUGGAUGAGUUGCGAACGGGUGAGUAACGCGUAGGUAACCUGCCUGGUAGCGGGGGAUAACUAUUGGAAACGAUAGCUAAUACCGCAUAAAAGUCGACAUCGCAUGAUGUUGACUUGAAAGGUGCAAUUGCAUCACUAAGAGAUGGACCUGCGUUGUAUUAGCUAGUUGGUGAGGUAACGGCUCACCAAGGCGACGAUACAUAGCCGACCUGAGAGGGUGAUCGGCCACACUGGGACUGAGACACGGCCCAGACUCCUACGGGAGGCAGCAGUAGGGAAUCUUCGGCAAUGGGGGGAACCCUGACCGAGCAACGCCGCGUGAGUGAAGAAGGUUUUCGGAUCGUAAAGCUCUGUUGUAAGAGAAGAACGGGUGUGAGAGUGGAAAGUUCACACUGUG